Molecule: ribosomal RNA, 253 nt
Filed under: uncultured Aquicella sp.
Lineage: Bacteria; Pseudomonadati; Pseudomonadota; Gammaproteobacteria; Legionellales; Coxiellaceae
Description: partial 16S ribosomal RNA
Rfam family: Bacterial small subunit ribosomal RNA
Source: RNAcentral
UACAGAAGGUGCGAGCGUUAAUCGGAUUUACUGGGCGUAAAGGGCACGUAGGCGGUAGGAUGUGUGUGAUGUGAAAGCCCCGGGCUUAACCUGGGAAGUGCAUCGCAAACUAUCUAACUAGAGUAGAUGAGAGGGUGGCGGAAUUUCCAGUGUAGCGGUGAAAUGCGUAGAGAUUGGAAGGAACGUCAAUGGCGAAGGCAGCCACCUGGCAUCAUACUGACGCUGAGGUGCGAAAGCGUGGGGAGCGAACAGG